Molecule: ribosomal RNA, 250 nt
Filed under: uncultured bacterium
Lineage: Bacteria
Description: partial 16S ribosomal RNA
Rfam family: Bacterial small subunit ribosomal RNA
Source: RNAcentral
GACGAACCGUGCGAACGUUGUUCGGAAUCACUGGGCUUAAAGGGCGCGUAGGCGGUCAUUCAAGUCGGGGGUGAAAUCUUGCAGCUUAACUGUAAAAGUGCCUUCGAUACUGAAUGACUCGAGGGAGGUAGGGGCAGGUGGAACUUCCAGUGGAGCGGUGAAAUGUGUUGAUAUUGGAAGGAACGCCGGUGGCGAAAGCGACCUGCUGGAUCUCUUCUGACGCUGAGGCGCGAAAGCUAGGGGAGCAAAC